RNAcentral lists this ribosomal RNA (484 nucleotides) under uncultured bacterium. RNAcentral describes it as "partial 16S ribosomal RNA". It matches the Rfam family "Bacterial small subunit ribosomal RNA", at positions 30 to 507 of the family's 1533-position model. The record is from RNAcentral.
AUUGAACGCUGGCGGCAGGCCUAACACAUGCAAGUCGAGCGGAUGAAGGGAGCUUGCUCCUGGAUUCAGCGGCGGACGGGUGAGUAAUGCCUAGGAAUCUGCCUGGUAGUGGGGGAUAACGUCCGUAAACGGGCGCUAAUACCGCAUACGUCCUGAGGGGGAAAGUGGGGGAUCUUCGGACCUCACGCUAUCAGCUGAGCCUAGGUUGGAUUAGCUAGUUGGUGGGGUAAAGGCCUACCAAGGCGACGAUCCGUAACUGGUCUGAGAGGAUGAUCAGUCACACUGGAACUGAGAAACGGUCCACACUCCUACGGGAGGCAGCAGUGGGGAAUAUUGGACAAUGGGCGAGAGCCUGAUCCAGCCAUGCCGCGUAUGUGAAGAAGGUCUUCGGAUUGUAAAGCACUUUAAGUUGGGAGGAAGGACAGUAAGUUAAUACCUUGCUGUUUUGACGUUACCAACAGAAUAAGCACCGGCUAACUUCGUG